AGAGUCUUGGCUCAAUGGUUAAGAGCAUUGGUUGCUCUUCCAAAGGACCUGGGUUCAAAUCCCAAGAAUUAA
Molecule: non-coding RNA, 72 nt
Organism: Cricetulus griseus (Chinese hamster)
Lineage: Eukaryota; Metazoa; Chordata; Mammalia; Rodentia; Cricetidae
Source: Rfam